UACGUAGGGUGCUAGCGUUAAUCGGAAUUACUGGGCGUAAAGCGUGCGCAGGCGGUUUUUCAAGUCUGAUGUGAAAGCCCCGGGCUUAACCUGGGAACUGCGUUGGAAACUGAAAGACUAGAGUGCGGCAGAGGGGGGUAGAAUUCCACGUGUAGCAGUGAAAUGCGUAGAUAUGUGGAGGAAUACCGAUGGCGAAGGCAGCCCCCUGGGUCGACACUGACGCUCAUGCACGAAAGCGUGGGGAGCAAACAGG
RNAcentral lists this ribosomal RNA (253 nucleotides) under uncultured bacterium. Its description in RNAcentral is "partial 16S ribosomal RNA". It matches the Rfam family "Bacterial small subunit ribosomal RNA", at positions 524 to 776 of the family's 1533-position model. The record is from RNAcentral.